Molecule: long non-coding RNA, 1175 nt
Filed under: Piliocolobus tephrosceles (Ugandan red Colobus)
Lineage: Eukaryota; Metazoa; Chordata; Mammalia; Primates; Cercopithecidae
Description: lncRNA (ENSPTEG00000021149.1)
Source: RNAcentral
GACAGUAAAGACAGUAAAGACAGUAAAAAAAGUAAUACCAACAGUAACAACGAUAGUAAGACAAACCACGAAACAGACAACAAAAAGAGUAGAGCAGAAAGUAGGAGUGGUAAUAACGAAAGCAUCAGUUACUACAACCAUAACAAAACUAAACACGAAACCAUUAAUAAUAAACAUUUUUAUAAAUAUUUGUUAAAUUAUAUGAAAAAAAAACUACAAAAUAUAUAUAAUGAAAAAAAUAAUAAUUCAACGAAUAAAAAUUUAAUUAAAAAAAUAUGUCUAAUGAUAAAAAUAACAAAAAGAGAAUAUGCACAAAACCUAAUGUUACAUGAAUUAUUUUCUUCUCACUUAAUUAUAAAAAUUAAAUCUAUAUCUAAUAUAUUGUUGGGUUUAACUUCCUUAAAACGGUUUGUUGGAAAGCGUCAAUUUAAAUUAGUAGUGUACUGGAGUGAAGAAGGUAAAACAAUAUAUAAUAUAGAACAAUUAAAAAAAAGAAAAUCAAGAAUAUUAGAAUUAAAAGAAAAUAAUAAAAUUUUACAAGAGUAUUGUUUUAUAGAUGACUAUACUACUACAAAUAAUGAGAAAAAUAAAAAAAAAAAAAUCAAAGCAGUAAAACUAAAAAUUAAUUUUAGUGGUUGUAUUAUAAUACCAUAUAAUUACCAUAUUAAUAAUUCCCAAAUAAACAUUCUAAUAUUUCACAACGACAUACCCAUGUUAGAAUUGAAAGAAAACAUAAAAGUAAAUAACUAUAUAGGAUUUUACCAAGGAAAUAAAAUAAAAAGAAAAUUAAAAUAUCAUCCCAUGUAUUUUAAAUAUAACAACAAUGAUUUAUUUAUUGAACAAAAUUUCCCUGAUAUUUUACUCUAUCUUUAUACACACCCAAAAAGUAGUAAAUUUAUGUCUAAAAGUUUAUAUCAAUCAUUAUAUAAAAAUGAAACUAAUUUUCAAUUAAAUGAAAUGAUAGAUUCUGGUUAUUCAGCUCCAAAUUUUAGUAAGAACAGCCAAAAUAUUUUUUUUUUAUUUUGUGGUGAUUAUCAAACUGCUAAUGACGUAAUAAAAAACAAAAAAAAGAAACCUGGGUGGUAUAAAAGCAGUUUUUUUUAUACCCAUAAGGGAUAGAAGGGGUGAUGGUAGUAGUGGUGAUGAUGGUGGUAGUGGUAGUGGUAGAGGUGGUG